Molecule: long non-coding RNA, 830 nt
Organism: Hevea brasiliensis (rubber tree)
Lineage: Eukaryota; Viridiplantae; Streptophyta; Magnoliopsida; Malpighiales; Euphorbiaceae
Exons: 3
Source: RefSeq, a predicted model, not a curated record
CAAAUCCAUUCAAAAUUCACUCUCCGCUGAAAGCAACGCUCCUCUCGGGAUUUUUACCAUACUAGUGUUAAACAGAAGAAAAAAAUAUUAGAAUAGGUGAUCAGCAGCUAAUUUACCGAAAGGGAGUGAGGGAGCUGACGUGAAGAACACUGUACAUCCGAACGCUUCUCAUACUAGCGUGCCGAGCUCGGGACGACCAUUGCUCCUGGGACGCUAUUCAUAAUCGCGUCCUAAGGCACUUUAUAUUUCCCUGCUGCCUUCACCUUCAUUGUCUCUCUCACUUACCUUCUGAACCCUAUGAUUCUCUCAUUCCUCUCACCCCUCUCUUCUCCAUUGUAUUGUCCCUCUCCAUUGUCGUGUCUGGAGUGUUGCUCGUUGAAACCAAGUGGUGGACCAGUCACCAGAAGGGAACCGUGGUAGACCAACAACCAAAAGGAGAAUAAAAAAAACUUUGUGCAUUACUACAAAAAGAGGUGGAGAUGAAAAACAAAGAAGAGAACUUUAAUGAAGUUAUUUCAGAGUUAAGGAAGGAAAAUACUUCAUUGCAGGAGAAACUCAUUAAGGAGGAAUCAGAAAAAUUGGAUGCAAUUGAUUGUCAUAAAAGAGAAAAAGAAGCUCGGAUUGCUGCAGAAACCUUGCAGGCUUCUUUCUCAAAAGAGCUUGAAAAGGCUCAGCAAGAUAUAUUAGCAGCCAAUCAGAGGGUAAUAUCUAAUUUGCUUCUUGCAUCUUGAGUUUGAGUUGCCACUAUUAUUUAAUUGGGCGAAUGCUUCCUCCGAAUUUGGUGGAUUCCAAGCGACCAGCUUGAUGAACUUAUUUUCCCUUUAGGUGUA